GGGGCGUGGAAUUAGGAUGGAGCAGAGAGAAAAGUGAAAUUGGAGGAGGGCUCCUUAGAGCCUCUCCCAACCCAGCAAGGAUCAGCGGCAUGGAUCUUGCCCAUCACAACUGAUCACUGCUGUCUUGCAUCAAGCUGAAGUAGUGGGGACUUUAUACCCCUGCCUAGCCCAGUCGCCGAGCUUGGCCUCCAGAGGAGAGGCUCUGAAGGGGCAGACCCCCGAGCGGCCGACAGCUGGAACCGCUCUGCGGGGUAGUGCGGAUGUGUGUCAGCCAUAGUGGUGAAGGUGAAACGAGGGAGGUCAUUGGAGAUGAAAACGUCACAGCUCUCAGUGGCCUUGAUUUGUUGGGCCAUGAGCAUGAACGUUGGGGUUGUCAUCCUAGAUAUUGGAAGAAGUCCGGGGAAGCCAUAGGUUGUGAACUGGGAGUGAGGAAGAAAGGAUGGGGUGAAACAGCCUGAUGGGAGGGGCCCUAAAGUGUCAGAAUGUUGAAGAAGUUGUUACUCAAGUCCUGGAGGACGGGUCUGGAAGCUGCUUAGGGAGCCCACGCAGUCUGGAGUAUCACUUCUCCGGCCUCUGAGAGGGGAAAGACUUAGCACUUAGAGGCCUGUGGAGAAGUCGUGUUUACAGUAGAAAACCAGGGAUGGUGGUGAGGAGUUUUGGAGGUUGGAGAAAAGUAGGGUCUGAAUCAGGAACAGAGCAAUUCAGAAUGUUAGAAAGAGGAGAGCAGGGUGUUGGUAGUUAGGUGCCAAUGAAGUAGGAAUGAGAGGUGCCAUGGGCUUUGGGCAAAGUGGCCAGAGGUCUUGUCACCUUUGGCUUUGUCGAUGGUGGUCCUAGGAGCUGCAGACUCUGGGUGCUGCUUAGCACAUAGAAUUGCAGGAGACUUCACUUUGCUUUGGAGAAGAGAUGAGAAACAUUUUUAAGGCAAGACUUUGUGAGGAUAAAAAUUAGGAGAGGGUUGUGUUAGGGAUUACUUUGGCUUUUAAAAAACAGCAUCUUCUCAUAUUGGCAUUAAGUUACGACACUCUCCUGCUCCAAAUCCUUUUAAAAAUGUUUAUAUUAUAGUUGAUCUACACUGUUCUGUAGCUCCAAAUCUUUAAUGGCUUUCUAUUUACUUAGGGUUACAACGUCUCUUUUCCUUAGCAAGACCUUCUGGGGAUCUCUGCUUGCUUCCCCCUUGUUUUACGCUUCUUGCUCACUGAACUCUGCACUCUCAGUGCCUUGAAUGUUUGCCUCGGGGCCUUUACACGUGCUCUUCUUUCUGCUUAGAACCCUCUUUCCUCAAUUUUUUACAGACCAACUCCCACUCAUCUUUCAAGCUUUGUGUAAAUGUCACUUCAUCUGACCUUGAACUAAGUCCCUAAUGGAUACUAUAGAGAUAGUUGUUAAGUAUUUUAUAGGUAUCAUGACAUUUCCUGCCACUCUGUUCCAAUCUCCUAACAUAGAAGACGGUUGGUAAAUACAUAUUUAUUUGUGUGAUAGCUUAGUGUCUGUCUCAUUACCACAUGGUCAACUCCAUAAGGGCAUGGGCCAUAUAUUUGUUGUUGUUGUAACUCUUCUGUGGUUUUUUUUCUUUCUUUCUUUCUAAAUUAAAGUAUAGUUGCUUUACAAGGUUGUGCUGAUUUCUGCUGUACAGAAGAGUGGCUUAGUUAUCCACAAAUAUAUUCUUCUUCUUCUUUUUUUUUAAUAUUCCAUUCCAUUAUGGUUUAUCCCAGGAGAUGGGAUAAAAAUUCCCUGUGCUAUGCAGUUGCCUAUCCGUUUGAAAUGUAAUAGACUACCCCAAACUCCUGGGCCAUGUCUUUUUUUGAUCAUUCUUCUUUCCCAGCACCCAGCAUAGUGCCUGGUAUGUAACAGGCUGUGUAAUAGUUGCUGAAUGGUUGUUGUUUGAUGUGUCCCUAAAAUAUUUGCUAUUUUAGCCUUUGAUAAUCAUGUCCUUAAAGAAGAAUUCAUGACGUGAAAAUACUCAGGAGAGAAAACUAGGAGGAGAAAGCAGNUGUGCAGAUCUUUACUAUAUGCAUGGUUUCAAUUUUUUUUAUGUGUAUGCUUUUGUUGUGUGCUUGUGUUAGUGUGUUGUUUGAGCAGGCCUUCCCUGUGUAGUGUCUUUCUCAGAAUUUUAUCAUCCUGGCCAGAUUUCAGGGCCUCAGUUUUUUAUAGGCUUACAGUUGCUGGUCUGUAGAAACAUGUGCCUUCUACUGACUCAAUUUACUAUUUAAAUGAAUGCAUACUUCACUUGGAUUUUGCAUGCCUGGGAAGGAAAUAGUUGAGGAAAGACCUGAAAGAGCUAUGGGAGUGAGCCGAAUGGAUCUGGGAAGAGUGUUGCCAGGUGGAAGGAACAGGAUGAAUGGAGGCCCUGAGGAAGAGGCGUGUGCAUCGUGUUCACAAAAGAGCAGGACAGCUUGUGCAACUGGAGCAGAGGGAGACGGGGAAGGAGCAGUAGGGAAUGAACCCAGAAAAGUGUAGGGGCUGGUAGUAGAGAGUCUUCUAGGUCAUUGUAAAGAGUUGGGCUCUUACUUCAAAUGCGAUGUGAUUCAAAUGAGAUGCUAGAGAGAGGAACAUUCUACAGAGAAGGGAGUAACUGCAUUGGCUUUGUAUUUUAACAGGAUCCUCUGCCUUGAAGGUUAAGAAUCUCCUAAAAGGGGCAAGGAUGGAGGCAGGAGGACCAGUUGGGAUGCCAGGAAGCAGGAGAGAUGGUGGUGGCUUGGUGGUCAAAUGUAGUAGCAGCAUGGGUGGUGAGAAGUGCUGGAAUUCUUUGUUUUGAAGGCUGACCAGACAGUAUUUGCUGAUGGAUUAGAUGAGAGACGUGAAAAAAGUAGAAGAGGGAGAAUGACUCCAGGGUUUUUGACAUGAGCAAAGGUUGAUGUUACACUUAUUAUUGCCAGGACCUUGUAUACGGUACCUGUAUAUUGUUGGUACUUAAUAAAUACUUGGUGAAUGUAUUUGAAUUUAAUCCGCCUCUCGUCUUUUUGUUCUAGUCUCUCUUUAGUUCUCUUUUGCUGGAGUGGUGCUUGAUUGUUGAGAUAAAAAGAUGUUUACGCUGAAGCUGUGUUUGGAGACCAUUAGUUUCUCAGCCUAAGUUGCUUUGUCUAGUAUCUUCAGAGCCUUUUUUUUUAGUAAUCUCUGCCUAUUUCUGCUCCCUCCUGAGCUAAAUUGACAAGUCGUUCUUUUGUGUAUUUUAAUAAAAGCCUUGUUUGUAUUUUAGAUUUUUGAAAAACAACAUUUAAAAGUAGAUUCACUGAUGGUUGAAGAAAUAAAAAAGAAAAGUACUUUCCCAGGAAGUGGUUGUAGCAAUAAUUUUACAUGAUGUAUUUAGAAAAUGUUGAUAAGUAGCUCCUUUGUUAUGUGAUUGAGUCACUGUUUUUGAUAAGCCAAAUGGAGUAUUUAUUGAAUACCAGGUAUUAGGAGCUCUUUAUUAUAUGUGUUAUCUUGGCCAAUCUAUUUUCUAGUAUUAUUAAUAUCAGGCUACUUUGUAGAGGAACAAUGGUGUAUUUUCUCUGCCAAACAACUGAAACUUCACAUAUCUUCUCUGAGUUUUAUUGUGUUUCUGCAAGUUGGUUUCCAAACUCAAGAGCAAUAGUUCAUCUCCAUGGAAUGCUGUUCUUUCACUCUUUGAUUAUGUUUUAUAGUAACUUUAUUUCUGACUUUUGGUGUGUUCUUUAAUUAUACUCCAAUCAUAACCUGAACUUGUUGGUGUCGUGAACAACUUGUUGGUGUUCUGUUAGCUAGUUUUAUAUCACCAUGACCUGAUUCCCAGGCCCAAAAAUGCUGAGUUCUUGAUUACAGAUUGAAUUCAAUUAAAUAGUGUUUUGCUGUUAAGUAUGUUUCCAUUGUAAUUGCUUUUUUGAAAACCAUUGAUUUUAGUGAUUUGUUUAAAGUUCUGAUACUUGCUUUAGGGUGAAAAACCGAGAAACAUCGUAGCUCAGAAUUGCACAGACAUGCCAUGAAUUUUGCCCAUUUUAUUUCUCUGCAUUGGGGAAUUCUUAUGAUAAUUAAGGCAGAAUUUAAGAUGCUGCCCAUAAAAGAAGAAGAGCAUAAGAUAAUCACAAUCAGGUGGUGUAAAAAUGUCAGCCCAAAAUGAUAGUAAUUAUUUUUCCCUGAAGCAUAACUAAUAUCCCAGAGUAAAAAUACAGUUCAUUUAAAUUCCCUUUAGAAUUAUUGCAUAUGAUAUCUCAGUGAUUAUAAGAAUUGGCAAAAGUUUCUACUUCAUAAAGGUAUGUAUGUUAUACAAUAUCAGAAAAUGUAAUUGAAACCAAUGGGUAAAAUAUAUUGUAAAGGAAAUUUUAUAAUCUGGAAAAUAACAAUUCAUAAAUGGAAGGGUUUCUCGAGAAUACACUAUCUGGUUUAUCCUCCUUAUUUUACUGACAAGAAAUAGAAGGCUCAGAGUACUUAAGCAACUUAAUGCCAUAUAAUUACUUGAUAUCAAAGUUGAGAAGAGAACUUUAUGCUCCUCAUACCUGAUUUUAUAAUUUAUAUUUUAUUAUAUAUUGUUAUAUUUUACUAUAUCAAGUUAACUGAUAACGUUUAAGGCAAGAGCCGUAUUUAUUUUAAUUCUUUUUUUGGUGUGACUUGUAAUGAUUAUCUUAGGAUAACUAUGAAAAUUGAUUAAAAACAGUCAAUAAUAGGAAUAUGAGAAUAGAUUCCAAAGAUACUUGCACAGGAAGAAUUGGAUUCAGAGGGGAAGUUAUUUGUAGACUGUUUUAUAAAGAAUAGAUUAUAUGGAGACUUCUCUUUCUAGCAAUAUGACUGGGACCUUCACUGAACUUCACAUGAAAAAUUUUUAAAGCUGUUGGAUAAAACAUUUCAAAUACAUUAAGUUGCUUUGAUGAGCUGACAAGAAAUUUAGGAUUAUUGAGGCCCCUGCCCUCCCCCCCCCCAAAUAAAUAGACUUCAGAGAGAUGUGAGAGAAAGUACUACCAAGGUGGUUUUCACUCUGAGGGUAUUUGCCAAACCCAGGUGAAUCUGCAAAGCCCAGAACCCGCUCACCUUGGGGAAUCUAGUAGAACACACCCCCGUACUCCACGUAGAAUAAGUAUAUGGAUCAUCUAGAAACAUUGUCUCUUUCCCAUAAACUUGCCACCUCUUAUAAGGGACUGAAACACAAUUGAUCACGUUGGCAUAGACUGAAAGGGGAAAAAAAAUUGCUAGAAAAACAAAGUUUUUUGCAUAAAUAUACAUCCCCUGGAUGAUGUGAGAAAAUUUCAAGGUGAGAAGUUAGUUUCAGAUGGGUUUUAGGUUGGUAGUUCCCUCAGGUAAACUAGUAGAAGCUACUAUCACUCAUGUGUUCUGGAGGAAUGUACCUUUCAACCAGGCCUCAAAGAAUUGCUCCAGAUGAAUUUCUAAGGGAAUGAGCUUAUAAAACAUAUACAUACCUGAUACAGAACACAUACAGGAAGAAAAGGAUUCAGGAAUAAGACCCAGCAGAGGUAAGAAACAUAAGAGGAGUUCCCGUUGUGGCACAGUGGUUAACGAAUCCGACUAGGAACCAUGAGGAUGUGGGUUCCAUCCCUGGCCUCGCUCAGUGGGUUAAGGAUCCGGCGUUGCCGUGACCUGUGGUGUAGGUUGCAGACGCGGCUCGGAUCCCGCGUUGCUGUGGCUCUGGCGGAGGCCGGUGGCUACAGCUCCGAUUGGACCCCUAGCCUGGGAACCUCCAUAUGCCGCGGGAGUGGCCCUCGAAAAGGCAAAAAGAAAAAAAAAAAAA
This 5692-nucleotide long non-coding RNA is filed under the name Sus scrofa (pig). Its description in RNAcentral is "lncRNA (ENSSSCG00015007410.1)". The record is from RNAcentral. Lineage: Eukaryota; Metazoa; Chordata; Mammalia; Artiodactyla; Suidae.